AUACUAACCUGGCUGGGGAAAUACCUUGGUCAAGAGGGUGGUUUUCCAGGGCAAGCUUUAUCCACUGCACUCAAGAUGUGCUGACCCCAGUGAGUUUCCCACGUGGGGGAAACUCGACUGCAUGCUUUAUGGUAGUGGGGAUCGCAUUUGCACUCUUCCCCA
This is a small nuclear RNA of Peromyscus leucopus (white-footed mouse), 162 nucleotides long. RefSeq annotates it as U1 spliceosomal RNA. The record is from RefSeq and is a predicted model, not a curated record. The transcript has a single exon. NCBI's taxonomy places the organism in Eukaryota, Metazoa, Chordata, Mammalia, Rodentia, Cricetidae.